Molecule: long non-coding RNA, 415 nt
Filed under: Phoenix dactylifera (date palm)
Lineage: Eukaryota; Viridiplantae; Streptophyta; Magnoliopsida; Arecales; Arecaceae
Description: long non-coding RNA (PDAC_LNC003419)
Source: RNAcentral
UUGUAGGAGGCGAAGACGUCGACGCGGUCGUAGUAGAUGCCGAUGCGGUCGUUGGGGUUGCGAGUGGAGAUGGUCACCUGCAGCGUGGAGGAGAGGAGGUUCUCCGGGGAGGAGACGUUGAAGGCGGACACGGAAGCGUCUUGGAGGUAGAUUUUGGGCUUGGUGGGGCGGAGGACGAGCCAGAUGACGAGGAUGAUGAAGAGGAUCAGUAUGAUGAAGCCCAGGAUCAUGGCGAAGAUCAGGCGGGACAGCUUGUGGCCCUUGCCGCCGUCUUUCUCCUUGGCCGACAUGGUGCCGCUGGUUCUGGUCGUGGAACCGCCGCCGCCGCUGCCGCCGGCGAGGAGUUGGAGUACUGGGAGAGAUGGGCUAGGGGAGGAGUGGGGAGGGAGUGGGCGAGAAGGGGAGAUGGUGUGAU